ACGACUGUACAAUCCUUCGGGUGCGUUCAUGGGCGACGAGUGGCGGACGGGUGAGUAACGCGUAGGAAUCUACCCAACUGUGGGGGACAACCCGGAGAAAUCCGGGCUAAUACCGCAUACGCCCUACGGGGGAAAGCGGGGGAUCUUCGGACCUCGCGCGGUUGGAUGAGCCUGCGUCCGAUUAGCUUGUUGGUAGGGUAACGGCUUACCAAGGCGACGAUCGGUAGCUGGUCUGAGAGGAUGAUCAGCCACACUGGGACUGAGACACGGCCCAGACUCCUACGGGAGGCAGCAGUGGGGAAUAUUGGACAAUGGGGGCAACCCUGAUCCAGCCAUGCCGCGUGUGUGAAGAAGGCCUUCGGGUUGUAAAGCACUUUUAGUGGGGAAGAAAAACUUGAGGUUAAUACCCUCGGGUCUUGACGGUACCCGCAGAAAAAGCACCGGCUAAUUCCGUGCCAGCAGCCGCGGUAAUACGGAAGGUGCGAGCGUUAAUCGGAAUCACUGGGCGUAGAGCGCGCGUAGGCGGUUAGGUAAGUCAGAUGUGAGAGCCCCGGGCUCAACCUGGGAACUGCAUUUGAUA
Molecule: ribosomal RNA, 580 nt
Filed under: uncultured Gammaproteobacteria bacterium
Lineage: Bacteria; Pseudomonadati; Pseudomonadota; Gammaproteobacteria
Description: bacterial SSU rRNA
Rfam family: Bacterial small subunit ribosomal RNA
Source: RNAcentral